GUAACACGUAAACAACCUGCCUUCAGGAUGGGGACAACAGACGGAAACGACUGCUAAUACCGAAUAAGUUCCAAGAGCCGCAUGGCCCAUGGAAGAAAAAGGUGGCCUCUACCUGUAAGCUAUCGCCUGAAGAGGGGUUUGCGUCUGAUUAGCUGGUUGGAGGGGGUAACGGGCCCACCAAGGCGACGAUCAGUAGCCGGUCUGAGAGGAUGAACGGCCACACUGGAACUGAGACACGGUCCAGACUCCUACGGGAGGCAGCAUG
This 265-nucleotide ribosomal RNA is filed under the name uncultured bacterium. RNAcentral's name for it is "partial 16S ribosomal RNA". It matches the Rfam family "Bacterial small subunit ribosomal RNA", at positions 110 to 353 of the family's 1533-position model. The record is from RNAcentral.